CCCUGCGUCAUCGCAGAUGUUUGUGGAAUUUAUUCGUAUCAGACUUUUUCACGCAUUAAUCAUAGUAGUAAUUUAAAUUGUAAAUUAUAUUGAUGAAUAAAAUGUAAUUGUAACGCUCAUUUAAGCAACAUUGUAACUAUGAUCCGACGCUUAUACAUAUGCAUUGUGCCGUUUGAAUCAUUCUAUCAAAUACAUUAGUAUGUUAAAGAUCACACGGUGUUAAAAGUCUUCACAUAUUGCAUAUCAUACAGUUAAAAAAUAGGUCAAACUUCGGUUUAGGGGACCAAAAAUUAAUAAAUAAAUCAUUUAAAUAAUUUGUUAUCAAAAUAAAUAUAUAACGUAUAAAUUUACAUAAUAAUAAUUUCAUUCGAAUUGAUUUCAUAAAUGUAUUCAAUGAAAUUAAUAUUUUAUUUCUGAACUUUUCAAUAAAUGAUCAAUGCCGUUUAUCAUGCUAGAAUAUUCAGACUGUUACUUUUAACACUGAAUAAAUAGGUGAUUUUCUUAAAUAUUUAUUGUUUGCUAUAAAAUCGUUGUGAUUACAUAACCUAAUACAUCGGUCUAUGUUCAAAAUUUAUAUUAAAAAAAAAUGUAUUUAUAUGAGUACAAAUGUCAAUGUAAUGUAUAAUUAUAAAGGAAACAAUAUAUAUAUAAGAAUAUUAAUUAUGUCCUCUGCCCCUUUAGUAAGAUGAAUGUCUCGGUGGGUAAUUUCGUGUUCUGUGCCAACGAUUAUGCGAAAACCGUCCAUGUGAUCUGUGCUCCCUGCUAUACAAAAAAUCAACAAUUGGUGGUGUUUUCAUAUUAACAUUUUUCUUUUUCAUAAAGUCACUAUCCUUUUCUGUAUAACGAUCUUUGAAUUCUUCUUCACAUUCUACCAAAAAUUUUUGUUGUUCGUCUGUUAACUCUUGUCCUUCCAUUUUCUUAUUGUAUAUUUAUUAAUAAAAAUAGUAUUCAGCUGUAAUGCAUAAUUAGGUAUACAAACUUAAACAAUUUACAAAAUAAUUAAUUACAUGCAUAAGUUAUGUUUAUACUUACGUCAGAGAUAUCAAUGUUGUACUGAUUGAGUUAUGAAUAAUACAUCUGUGGAAUCGUAUUAUUUAAAGAAUGUUGUUUAUCCUAAUGUUAAUUAAUUGAUUACAUUCCAUAUAAAAUUUAUUCUUACAAUAUAUAAAGUAGAUGCACACAAGACGAAAAUAAUGUUACAAUUAAUGGAUAACCUAUUUACUUUAGGUUAGGAGUGUUACAUUUAUGGACCUUUAUUGUAACCUUCAAUUUCGACCGUAUACAUUUGGUUCAAAACAAUUCUUAUAAUUAUUAUAUCAUUAUAGUUCCAUGUUAUUUAUUUUACUAAAAACCAAUUAUUUUUAUUAAUAUAUUUGCAUACAUUGCAUAACAUUAUAUUGAGAAAAAAAACAGCAAA
This is a non-coding RNA of Osmia lignaria (orchard mason bee), 1417 nucleotides long. The record is from RefSeq and is a predicted model, not a curated record. NCBI's taxonomy places the organism in Eukaryota, Metazoa, Arthropoda, Insecta, Hymenoptera, Megachilidae.